AGAGCCUAAACUUAAGUAAUAGGAUGUUAUUAUGUCAUAAGAGCAAAAGCUCACUGAAAAUGCUUCCAGUGUAUUAUCAGUUGACUGGUUGUGAUCUUU
Non-coding RNA from Chelonoidis abingdonii (Abingdon island giant tortoise), 99 nucleotides. NCBI's taxonomy places the organism in Eukaryota, Metazoa, Chordata, Testudines, Testudinidae. The record is from RefSeq and is a predicted model, not a curated record.